This 940-nucleotide small RNA is filed under the name Pan troglodytes (chimpanzee). Its description in RNAcentral is "retained intron". Lineage: Eukaryota; Metazoa; Chordata; Mammalia; Primates; Hominidae. The record is from RNAcentral.
UUUAUUCACUUAUUGAAAACCAUAUUCUUCUCCUGUCUUUGUGCUUCUCAAACUUUAAUCUGCAUGUGAAUUACCUUGGGAUCCUGUUAAAAUGCAGAUUAUGAUUUAGUAGACUGGGGAGGGUCCUCAGAUUCUGCAUUUCUAUCAAGUUUCCAGAUUAUGCUGAUACUGUAGGUCUAUGAAUCACUUACUUGGAGUAGCAAGGUUAUUAUAGAGCUUUAUGGCUGGAAAUUGUAAAUGCUACUAUUAAAUGCUUAGAUUAAAGUAGAAUUUGCACAAGGUGAAAUUGAGUCAAACUUUAUUUGAUUUGUUUUUUAGAAAUUAAAUUGUAAGGAAAUAAUUGAAAAUUUGGCAAAAAUUCUUAAGAGACAUCCAGGUUUAAGAAACAUUUUGCCUAUAACUACUGCCAAAGUGCCUAUAGUAAAAUUUGAACACAGACGAAGUGGGUUAGAAGGCGAUAUCAGUUUAUAUAAUACGUUGGCUCAACAUAACACAAGAAUGCUAGCUACUUAUGCAGCUAUUGAUCCUAGAGUGCAGUAUUUGGGAUAUACUAUGAAAGUGUUUGCUAAGCGAUGUGACAUUGGGGAUGCUUCCAGGGGAAGUUUAUCUUCAUAUGCAUAUAUCCUUAUGGUGCUGUACUUUCUGCAGCAGAGAAAGCCACCUGUUAUCCCAGUUCUACAAGAGAUCUUUGAUGGAAAACAGAUUCCACAGAGAAUGGUUGAUGGAUGGAAUGCUUUCUUCUUUGAUAAGACAGAAGAACUGAAAAAGCGUUUACCUUCACUUGGAAAGAACACAGAAUCAUUAGGGGAGCUUUGGCUGGGACUGCUUCGUUUCUAUACUGAAGAGUUUGAUUUCAAGGAAUAUGUAAUUAGCAUUCGGCAGAAAAAGCUGUUGACAACUUUUGAGAAGCAGUGGACUUCCAAGUGCAUUGCAAUUGAAG